CGGUCACGUUACGUUGAAAGACCUGUCCCCGUACGAUCACCGUAGUUAAACAGCCUGGUACUUCAAUGGGUGACCACUCGGGAAUACCAGGUGCUGUAAG
Molecule: non-coding RNA, 100 nt
Organism: Acanthosepion pharaonis
Lineage: Eukaryota; Metazoa; Mollusca; Cephalopoda; Sepiida; Sepiidae
Source: the annotation of a GenBank genome assembly